Long non-coding RNA from Camelus dromedarius (Arabian camel), 239 nucleotides. Lineage: Eukaryota; Metazoa; Chordata; Mammalia; Artiodactyla; Camelidae. The record is from Ensembl.
GUUCCAGCAAUGGCAUGUGAUUUAAUUUUUCAUGGAGUAUGGAGAAGCCUUGUGUUGUGAUUUUAGGAUAUCAAAGCGGACUGCAGUACCUGUGCGGAAAUAGAGGACAGAAAGGUAAGUCAGUAUUUUUCAUCCUUUUGGUUUCAAGCAGAACGAGAACUCUGUGACUUAAACCCAAGUGUUUAAGGCAUGCCUUGCUGGACGCUGUCUUGCAAAGGUGAUCCAUGUGCUGAGCGUAG